ACACUCGCAAGCUCCGAUCCAGGAAGAAUAAAACUACACAGUAGUAUAUAUGCUGAUGUAUUGCCACCUGUUAUACUACUACAACCGUUGCAUGGUUGCGAGGGCAGGAGAAGUUCCCUUACCUUCCCGAAUGUAACGCGUGCAUGGUAUCGCCGCGCCUCGUUUACGUUGGUCGAGGCAUCGCUCAUAUUGUACGGUUUGGAUUACUUGAAUAAAUAUUCUUAACCAUCCUUAUAUGUAUUGUGUAACGG
This 251-nucleotide long non-coding RNA is filed under the name Triticum aestivum (bread wheat). RNAcentral's name for it is "long non-coding RNA (TAES_LNC017477)". Lineage: Eukaryota; Viridiplantae; Streptophyta; Magnoliopsida; Poales; Poaceae. The record is from RNAcentral.